GUAGUCCACGCCGUAAACGUUGGGCGCUAGGUGUGGGGGGUUAUCCACUCCCUCCGUGCCGCAGCUAACGCAUUAAGCGCCCCGCCUGGGGAGUACGGCCGCAAGGCUAAAACUCAAAGGAAUUGACGGGGCCCGCACAAGCGGCGGAGCAUGUGGCUUAAUUCGACGCAACGCGAAGAACCUUACCAAGGCUUGACAUGCAGGGAAAUCUCGUAGAGAUACGGGGGUCCGCAAGGGCUCUGCACAGGUGGUGCAUGGUUGUCGUCAGCUCGUGUCGUGAGAUGUUGGGUUAAG
This 294-nucleotide ribosomal RNA is filed under the name uncultured bacterium. Its description in RNAcentral is "partial 16S ribosomal RNA". It matches the Rfam family "Bacterial small subunit ribosomal RNA", at positions 790 to 1084 of the family's 1533-position model. The record is from RNAcentral.